RNAcentral lists this ribosomal RNA (275 nucleotides) under uncultured bacterium. RNAcentral's name for it is "partial 16S ribosomal RNA". It matches the Rfam family "Bacterial small subunit ribosomal RNA", at positions 338 to 625 of the family's 1533-position model. The record is from RNAcentral.
CCUACGGGCGGCUGCAGUCGAGAAUCUUCCACAAUGGACGAAAGUCUGAUGGAGCGACGCCGCGUGAUUGAUGAAGUCCCUCUGGGACGUAAAGAUCUUUUAUGAGGGAAGAAGUUUAUUGACUGUACCUCAUGAAUAAGAGGCUCCUAAUCUCGUGCCAGCAGGAGCGGUAAUACGAGAGCCUCGAGCGUUAUCCGGAAUUAUUGGGCGUAAAGGGUGCGUAGGUUGUUCUGUUAGUCUUUUGUCAAAGCCCGGGGCUUAACUUCGGGAUCGCA